AAUAUCGAUCAAUUAGAUUCAUCAAUAAUGAUUUUCAAGGAUAUUUGACAUGAUCGGAUGGGGUCCAACAUCUUGCAUGGAUAUCGAAGCGAUUUCGAGCUUCUUUUGGGAACAUCAUCUUGGGUUCGUACAUAGGUCAUCGAAGAGGAAGACAUGACUCAGUACAAGAUCUAUAGAUCUUUUUAGAGAGAGAAAGUGGGUGAAGAGAGAGAAAGUAGAGAGAUAAAGUGGAGGAAGAAUCUUCAUAUUUCUCAAAAGAAGAAUCUAUGAUCAAGAUUAUCAGAGAUCAUGUUAGGAUACUCAAUAAGGGUUAACGAUGAUCAGAUUGGACUAGGAUUGACCAACUACACAGAUAUCAAAGCGAGUCUAGGUCUGUUUCACAAGAUCAUCUUAAGUUCAUAGUGGGUUCAAAAGAUUAGAUAAAGAAAAAAAGAGAGAGGAGAGAGAAAUCCAAGAAGAGAGAGAUAAGAAAAUCAUUUUUCUUCUUUUUUUUUU
Molecule: long non-coding RNA, 495 nt
Filed under: Elaeis guineensis (African oil palm)
Lineage: Eukaryota; Viridiplantae; Streptophyta; Magnoliopsida; Arecales; Arecaceae
Description: long non-coding RNA (EGUI_LNC025171)
Source: RNAcentral